UGAACAAAUUAGACAGUUAAUGUUCCAGGAUGAAGAGGGCUUCGGGGAACAGAAUCUGCCGUUUAUUUGACUUGCUUCAUUAGACACAGUGCCAUCAUACCAAAAUUAGAAAAAAGAAGGAACUCAGCGGAAAUCAGCUACACAAGAAGAACCUCUCAGUUCUGAGAAUUCACAUUAACCAGUGAUUAAGAAAUAUUAAAAAGGUCAGCUAGUGAGGAGAGUAAGAUGUAGUGAGGCAUGUGUUCAGAACUUUCUCCCAGAGGUAAAUUACUGAUGCAUGACUUUUAAGGUGCUAGGAGAGGGCUGAUAGUCCACUACGUUAUCAAGUUCAAAGCCUAAGAAAUAUUGAACAUUUCCACACAUGAAUGUGGGUACUAUGUUUAAUUUGAGAAUGGCCAACUGUCCUCGAAGUCUCAAUCUCUUUGGAGCCUACCAGCUCCGAGAGAAGUUUGAGGAUGCUGCAAAACCCUCCCCUGCAAAUCCAUCUACUCCUCCCACUUCUAUCCUAAUGGGUAUAGUUCUUGGCUGUGCUGAGGAUCUGUAAGGCACCAGAUGUGAAAGUAAGGAAGAAAGAUGGAUGUGGAAGAAAGUCACUGCCCAGAGAAUAAGGAGACCUGGAUUCUAAUCUCAGCUCUGCCAUUAACUAGCUGUGAAGUGUUUGUUCAAAGAGAGACCAUGUAUAAGAUAUUUGAUGAAAAUGCUACUGAACAACAGAACCUGAAUCAGUGAAACUAUGGCUCAAAAGGGAAUAAGAGAUCAAGGCAAGCAUGGACA
RNAcentral lists this long non-coding RNA (774 nucleotides) under Homo sapiens (human). RNAcentral's name for it is "HSALNT0218848". Lineage: Eukaryota; Metazoa; Chordata; Mammalia; Primates; Hominidae. The record is from RNAcentral.